Molecule: long non-coding RNA, 7693 nt
Organism: Columba livia (rock pigeon)
Lineage: Eukaryota; Metazoa; Chordata; Aves; Columbiformes; Columbidae
Exons: 4
Source: RefSeq, a predicted model, not a curated record
CUCGGCCGGCCGGUGUGUGCCGGAGGGCGGGCCCGGGCAGGGGGGCACGGCGGCCUCCGGGCGCCUGGAGCCGCUGCUGCUCGGGGACAAAAGCGGUGGGACGGGUGUUUUGGGCUCCUUUAUUCCCAUUGCGUUUCUCAGACAAAAUGUCACACUCGGUACAAAGACAUCAAAGCUUUGCUAUGUCUUCUUGCAUCUGUUUUUAAACAUUAAGUUGCAGUAUCUAAAACGUAUCCACAUUCUUGGUUUGCUAAGAUAAGUUUCAAGCAUACUGUGGUACUUCUAGGAGUUACGUUUUGGUUUUAAAUCAAUUCCAGCCUUAUUUCCCUUAUUUGCACGAGAAAACCUGGCAAGACCCCGUUCUCUUAAAAAGGGAGUCAGAUACUUAAUACAUUAACUGUAAAAGGGAAGUAAAUAAAACUACUUAUGCCCUGGAAGCAUUAGGGUGGUGUGUUCAUGGUUAAAGAAGACAGAUUGCUAAAUGAAGAGUCAAAUAUGAUUGUGUUCAGUGCCAAAACCUCAAAAUGCAUGGUGCGAAAGCACAGCGUUACACUAGGAUCUGUAAUAUUGUGAAGGACUGAAAAGUUUUUAGUUCUGGGGCAGGGGAAAGGUGAUAUUCUUAAAAUUGUUCCAAUUAUUUCUAUAAUAAAAAUCUGAUGACAUUUUGCAAAAGGGCUUAGUUAAAGUUCAGCUUCAAUUUUACUGAAAAAAAUAUUUAAAAGUUUGUUAAGCAAGAAAAUGAUGAAAUUCCUACAGGAGGAGAUGUUGGUUUUGACUAACUGUUUUUGCAUUGCUUCAGGAGAAGCCAGCGUUGUUCUCAGUUUUGACAGCACAGUUUGACAGGGUCAGAUACAAAAGUUCUGCACAAGCAAGUAAAUUCAGCAUUUUCCUGCCCCAAAUAAAGGGAGACAGAAGAAUAAUAGUUCUGAUGAAAAGUUAAACUUCCAACGAAUGUCUUCUGCAGUUAUCAAAUCAACAGAGCAUUAAUUUCCGAUGAGAACAAACAAGCAACACCCUUGUAUUAUAUAACCCUAAUUAAAUGUCAGACCUAGAGCCAUCUUUUAUUAGGCAAAGGUUGCAAAAUACUUUCUAUUGUAAAUCAUCCUGUUAGAACUUUCCACACUUAAAUAUGUAAUUUUGUAUGCUUCCUACUCGUCAAAUAUUUCUGAGUUGUGAGGAAAUGAAAGUGUGUACUUUUUUCCCUUUCAAAAUAGCAACAACGCUGUGGAAAAAGAAGAAAAGUAAAAAAUCCUCCUGGGCAGCAUAAGAUAGAGACACAGUAAGGACAGUGGUUUAGAAAUUGGUGGUUUUACAGGUAGGAACAUUUAAAUUUAAUUUUUUAGUCAUUAGUGAAUAUCUUCAAAGUAAGAUUUAGAAAGACAGACAGCAGGAGUGAUUUUGUAGCAAUGAUGAAUUGAAGUGAAUAUGGGGAAAUAAUAGCCUUUUUUGAAUGCAGGUGGGAAAAUACCCCUAACAUUUGAGCUUGCAAGUUUUUCUUCAGGGGUUUUGAGAGAAAGACUUGAAAAACUGUUCCCCAAAGUGUUUUUGUUAUUUUUUUUUCAAUCAUAUCAGUUUUAAACCUAAUAAUGCAUGCUGCCUCUUGCACCAAACCUUCAGUCACAUGCAGAUAGACAAGAGUAUCUGCAUCUUGGGAAAUUCAUGAAUUUUUCCUUUUCUCUUCCAAAAUCUUUUUCCAGUGGAUGAGUGAUGGUAGGCCAGAGGAGGCAUUUGUACCAACUUCUGUUAUAUUUACUUGGACUAAUCUGGACUUGUCCCUUUCAUGGUGCUUCAGUUAGGAGAGAUGUCUGUCUAUUCUGGAAGCAGAGGAAGAUUUUACAGUUGUUCAGAGGCACCAGUGGUUUGGUGAGACCAAUUGGCCUUGAGGGCAACUGAGGCAAAUUAUUUCAGUCUGUCUACUUUGCAUCAGCUGGCAGAUCACCAUAGCUCAGCCGAGGGGUAGAUCCAGCUUUCAGGAUCUUUGUUGUUUUCUUCCACUGUCAGAGAUGGAGCUGGUGGUUUGGGGAGCACAUGAAGGCUCCUGUGCUUUGUGUGGCUCAGUUCUUUGAGCUCCUGCUUGCCUUGCUACCUCUUUGCGUGGGGGAAGAACCGAAGUAGCAGACGGCAGCUGGAAUUUGGAGCUGCUACCUUAUUAACUGAAUCUGUCAAAGGAGGGUGCCAAAUUCAGGAGCUGCCUUUGGCAGCUGCAGAGACAAGACUGUCUUGUGGUAGAUCACAGCGACUGAUGGGCUUGAGCAUGUGCGCAAGUGAACGUGCUGCUAAUUGCUACCACAGUCCCUGGAACCGUUUUGGCCCUGGCCAAUUAGCACCAUCCCAAACAAUGUCUGAGCACAGUCUGGGAACUAGCAUGGGCCUGGGACUGUUCCUAAUAAGCUGUGUGGAUGAGGCCAUUCUGGGUUUUGGAUUGUUUUUUUGGAGCAGGGGAGAAGGGGGGAAAGAGUUUAGCUCCAUGUAUGUGAGCUGUGCCACGUAUGCUGAGCUGCAUCAGGGGUGCAAAAGGGUACUUGAACUGUUUAUUUACUCAUAUAAAUGUAACCAUAGCAUUUGUUGCUGAAGUAUUACGGUAUUAUAUAGUAGUCACAAAAAUAUGAGAGACUAUUUCAAGACAAAUAACCAUAGCUCUCCAGAGACAGCAUGUGUGGCAAUUCCAAGUACACAAUUUACCGUGAAAUUAAUAUGCACCAACAGUCCCUUGCAGUCUGGUGCCUGAGAAAGGGAGAGAAUGAAUUUUUCUGUCUCCCAUUAUUGCCCCAAGUUUAGAAGUAGACCUAUAAUAUACUCCUACAUAGGUUUAAGUGCAAUCUAUACUGUUAUAUCCAAUUGGGUUAAAUUUUGUAAAUAUAUUCACACAUACAAUGCAAUGUCUUUAUAAAUCAUCAUGUCUUAGGUUACACCAAUGAAUUUGUAUGCAAUAACACUCUUAGAAAAGGAAAUGUUAAAUGCCAAGUUCCUCAAAAUAAUUAAAUGCAUCGAUUUUUGAGGUGACUGCAGAAGAAUCAUGCAAAGUCCAUAUUUUCAUGAAGGCUUAAACUUUUCAUUCAUAAUUCUGGCUGCAAGCUGGUCUUCUGUCACUGAUAUACUGUGAAACACUGUCCCUCAAGACUGAAAGAGUUCAUGUGCCAGCACUUGUUGUGCUGUACAGUAUGCUCACAGUUCCUAUUGUCUCACUCUAUGAGAAAGCUUAUUAGCUUAACUGUGCAUAGAGUCAUAUUUUCUCUUCACAUAUGUGAGUUGCACACAUUGUGAGAACUGGAGAGGAAAAUUUAACCUUUUACUUUUUCCCUGCAAGACUGAGGUUGCACAACUUUACUCCAUGCCCAAGCGAACCAAUUCUGGUACAAAUAGUUCCACAGUCUUGAAUAAACCACAGUUAGCAGUAACAAGAAGAAUUCUAGCACUAUUCUUUAAUGUAUUGUUGCUUUGAAUUGGUUUGUUUUCUUCUGGGUGGCAUAGAGGAACUAUGUAGGAAACAAUAGCAUCAGUCUCAAAGAUCUCGACAGCCUAACACAGCAAAGAACUGGUAGAAAAGGGGUACAACAUACAAGCAAACUGAUUAUACUGGCUAUAGCUACUUGUAUUUCCAGUUCCAUUUUGUUUGUUGGUUGUAUUGCUUUUACUUAUAGAAGCUAUGAUUUCAGUGUUGGGUAACUCCCAGAUUCUGACCCUUCAGACAUCUAAGCAUGGCAGCUUAACAUACACUGAGUAAUUCACAUCAGUUAACUUUCAUAGGACUGGAACUUGGCUUUUAAAAGACUAAUAUUAGUUUGAAAAUUUUAUCUUCGUAAGAGCUUACUCUGUAAGUAGUGACUCUUUUGUCUACAUUCUCUCCAAAAUAAUUUCUUUUGCUGAUGAAAUAUCAGCUGCAGUUAUGCUUUCAGGUUUUUUGAGUGUUUGCAGAGCGACAAAGACUAUUCCUCCUAUAUAGUCCUUUGCAAACCUUACCAUGCUUCAGGUGUCAGGAUAAAUUUAAUACGAGAAUUCAUCCCAAAUGUCCAUUUCUGUGUUAAAAGAUGAUUUAGCAUAAGAAUAUGAUGUUUUGGGAUUUUAGUAUUUAUUUGCAUUCCGUAUAUGGCAGCCAGGUUGGUAAGGAAGCAGACAUUAUUCUCAAAGUCUGUUUGAUUGCAUAUGAAAUUUAAAGUGCGGUUGGAGCUGUCUGGAUUUCAUUUCCCCGCCUCCUCCUCCCCCCCCCCUCCACCCUGCCUUUGGUAGGGGGGAAUAAAACAUCUCAGCUUAUAUGGGAGAAAAAAAUUAAAACCAGGCAGAACCAGCCCCAUUGUAAGCUUCACAUGCAAUCAAACGGCCUCGCAGGGAAACUCCCCUUCCUGGCUUCACUGCUGCCACUGGUGAACCACAAUUAAAAAAAAAAAAAAAAAAGAAAAAAAAAAAGAAAAUCACUUUUUAUACUCACUGCUUUCAAGCUAGACAUUGACAUGUGAACCAAAAUCUUCUUUUUAGCUAUUGCCCGGGAGGCCACCAAAGAAUCCCAGCUGACCCCCUGCCAUCAGAGUGAGUGAUGGUCGGCUGCUGGUGUUGCAGCUCACUUCCCCCAAGCUGCCACCCUGAGAGAUCCCACCAUCCACCGUCGGUGUGAGUGACAUUAGCCCACUGGGCUUUGAAAGCACUUUUCAGGUCGGUCAUCACGGAGAGAUAGCUUCCUUCACACACACCAUCAGGCUCUUCUCUCACUGAUCUGAUCUUCAUUUGGACACAUAAACUCAUUUUGGAGUCAGACUUCACAGGAGAGUUCAUGCAGGUGGUGAGGAACCCCGUCUCCCAUGGUAACACUGCAGAGUUGAGUUGGGCGAAACCGGUGAAGUUGACUCCAUCCCACAAUGAUGCCCUGGUGGCAUGAUCAUUCUCCUGAAAAAUGGCAAAGAAAAGAGUUAUCUAGAUCCUAACUGUUUCAUUACUGAGGAGAACUCGGGGGAUCAUGAGUGGAAGCAUAUUUACUUCUAAAUAUUCUGGAGGUCCUAAGUACAUAUCUGAAUGUGUGUCUCCAAAAGUGCACUGCAAUGAUCCACCAGCAUGUUCAGAUGGAAUGGUAUUCAUACUGGAAACAGACCAUACUAAGCCUUACCAUGUAUUUUUUGCAGUGUAAAGUAAACAGCUAUUUACUAACUUGAAGUAUAUCUGCAAAACACAUCCAAACAAAGAAACAAUAUGCCCUCAAGUCUAUAUGUUACACUACCUUUUCUGUACACAUGCUGCAGGUAAACACUUCAGGUUCUGGCCUUUCUUCCAGAUAGGAAAUGAGAAUUUUGAUUAUGCUUCUGCUGUGGGGCCUGGUUGGAUUUUACCCUGUCAGUGCCUGUGGUGCUGCUUGCUAGGUUGCUGACAGUGGCAAGUGCCUUUCAAUUAAGACUGAAGUUCCAUCAGAGCCCAUAAGUGGAGAAUGCCAGAGAGAUUAAUAAACGAAUUGUCACAGCUUCCAGACAUGCUGGGUUGGGGAGUACAACUCUUUGAGUUUGUGGGCUGUGUAAAUUUGGAGCUCUGGGUCUGCAUCUUUACAGAGAUAGACUUGGUCCCUUUUUUCUUUCUCAUAAAAUGAAUGAAAAUUAAUUUCUCUAAAGUUGAAGUCUGAAUGUGGAAAUACUCAAUAUUUUUAUAUCUUUCAUGCCAAACAUUUUAGCCUUUUUGCUGUUUUGGUGGAGUCACUAUUUGAAACAACGGCUUGAAUUGCUCUGACUAAACCAUCUGUAUGUGGGAAAAGAUUAUGGGAAACAUCCCUGCAGGGCUCUUUUUAGUUGCUCCAGUGGGCAUUAUCCAUUAUUUUUCCAUGUGUCUUGCCUUGGGGUUUUUUUGCUUUCCUUGCUGUCUUGACCAAUCUAGCUGGUACUAGUUAUUGUGUCUUUGAGAACUGUCAGUCCUAAAAAAAAUUUGCAAAUCUGAACAAUACAAUAGUUUUAAACUGUAUUUUAACUGCUUAACUCUUUCAUCUUAUUUUCUUGUUUUCACUUAAAAAUACAGACAGAAACUUUGUGCAUUUGCUAGCAUUUUCUCCACUAAACAUUCUACUUGGCACAGAAUGAAUAUUCUAGUAAUACUGCAUUCCUUGUACAGCAAAGAGUUCCACUAAAAUCAAUGGAAAAAUAGCACUUGUGGGAAAUUUUAGGGUCACUUAAGGAUCAUGUCAGGGAAAGACAUAUUAAAGAAGGAAUAUUCUGUAUUCCUGCUGACAAUUGCAUCCAACAGCUGUAGUGAUAUUGUUGUUCCUUGAAUUCUUGAGGGAAUUGUUUCUUUUUAACUGGACAUUCCUUUCUGAUUCUGGAGUCUGUAAGACUUAAAAGUAGGUGAACCUACCACUUCAUGGGAUCAGAGGGUAAUUCAACUUGGAAGGGCUGUCAGGAGAUCAUCUGCUGGAUUGUCGUCAUCCAGAAAACGUCUUCCUUUAUACCCAGUGUGAACAUAUCUUGUUUCAGCUCACAUGUGUUGUCUGUUGUCCUGCUGCCAUGGACUGCUACAAAAAGCCCGGCUCUAUUUACACAAUGACCUGCUUGUAGGUGGGAAGGGCUGCUUUGUGGUGCCCCUAUGUCUUCCUUUCUCCAGGCAGAAGCAGGUCUGUCCCUCAAGAUCACUUUGCAGGGCAGGUGCUCCAGCCUCUGAACCUCUGCUGAGCUCACUUGUCAUCAGUGCUGCCUUUGUCUACGUUGUCCAAAGACUUGCAUGACUACCUAUGUAUCUGGCUUAUCUAUGUGUCUUGCCAUGUCACCUCUUUUAGCAAUGCUUCAAAUGCAGAACUCAAAUGGUAGCAUGUUUUAGUAUCUUUUAAGUGUUUCUAGCAAUGGCCACACACCAACAUCAUCCUUGCAGUUCUAGGUGCCUCUUAAAACAUGAAGUGAUUGAAACUUAAAAUGAAGAGUACACAACAUGAAGCUCAGCAGGAGAUUAAUAGGAACACUAAUGUCUGAAUAAGAGCAUUGCAAAUUGCUAAGGGAUCUUGAGAAAUACGUUAAAACAGUUUUUCUUAUGUAAAACUGCAUUUUUGCAUGCAACCAUGCUACACAGGUUAAGAAUGAUUUUCUUUUUUUAAAUGCUGUUUUUGCUGUGAACCUCUAACAUGCUAUGAAAAAUAGUUCCAACAUUCAUUUUUAAAUAUUUCAAAAGUCUUUAAAACCAGGUGACUAAAAUUUAGUUCUUGAAUGUGAGUUCUGUGGUUUCAUUUUGAGAAGCUCUGAGUAUCUGCAGACCUCACUGAAGUACUGGGAGGUUCAAAUGCUAUUACUGAGUGGUAUUGGUGGAAAUUCAGGGGCCUUUACACAUUCAAGUCUACACUGGACCACAUUGGUAAACUCAUUAUCCUGUAGCAUCUGGUAGGUCUGAUUAGCUGUUAUCAAAGUCCAGAGUUCCUUCUCAGUUUUCUGACACAUUAGUGCUCUCCAAUCCCAUGGUGAAGUUGAACAAAUCCAUUUAAAGAUUAAGGGACCAAAAGAAUGUACCUAUAAAUUGCAGGAAAAUGAGCCAUACAUGUGUUUUUAACUCCAAAUCAGUCACUGAGCUUGCACCUUGUUUUCAUGUCAUGUUUCUCCUCAGUGUGAUAAUUUCAUUUGCCACAUUGUUUAGAAGUGAUGAAUAAAUGUGUAUUACACAGAUGAUCCCAAAUGAGUAUUACCAAAAUCCAGCCACUAAGGUCCAUAAUGAAUUUAUGUCACAGAAAAAAAUAAAUGUAUUAAAGAGU